Oncorhynchus tshawytscha (Chinook salmon) is the source of this 1187-nucleotide long non-coding RNA. NCBI's taxonomy places the organism in Eukaryota, Metazoa, Chordata, Actinopteri, Salmoniformes, Salmonidae. The record is from Ensembl.
UUUGCAAGUACUGUGCCAAAUCAUAUGUGAAGAAUACAACAAAGAUGCAGAAUCAUCUGGCCAUGUGCAUAAAGUUCCCUCAGCGCUCACAACAAGCAACCUCUGACAAAAGUCCCUCUACUUCUAUUCAAGUAUUCUACAAGAGCGCGCAGACACACCGGUCUCUACAUUGCAGAUGAGCUGAAGACCGUCAUCAAUGACCUUGGACCACAGAAGGUAUUUGCACUGGUGACCAGACAAUGCUGCGAACAUGAAGGCUGCUUGGUCUAAAGUGGAGGAGUCCUACCCUCACAUCACAACCAUUGGCUGUGCUGCUCAUGCAUUGAAUCUGUUCCUCAAGGACAUCAUGGCACUGAAAACAAUGGAUACACUCUACAAGACAGACAAUGAAAUGGUUAGGUAUGUGAAGAGUCAUCAAGUUAUAGCAGCAAUCUACCUCACAAACAAAGUGAGAAGAAUAAGAGCACCACAUUGAAGCUGCCCAGCAACACCUGUAGGGGUGGUGUUGUCAUCAUGUUUGACAGUCUCCUGGAGGGGAAGGGGUCUCUCCAAGAAAUGGCCAUAUCACAGUCUGCCGAUAUGGACAGCCCCAUCAAGAGGAUCCUUGAUGGGGCUGUCACCAUAGCAGCAUCCACCUGUAGCAUGCGCUCCAGCAGCUAUAGCUCACUGGUCGCCCCCAAAGCCAAUUCCUCCUUUGGCCGCCUUUCCUUCCAGUUAUCUGCUACCAAUGACUGGAACGAACUGCAAAAAUCACUGAAGCUGGAGACGCAUAUCUCCCUCACUAGCUUUAAGCACCAGCUGUCAGAGCAGCUCACAGAUCACUGCGCCUGUACAUAGCCCAUCUGUAAAUAAGCCAUCCAACUCCCUCAUCCUCAUACUGUAUUUAUUUAUCUUUUUCCUUUGCACCCCAGUAUCUCUACUUGCACAUUCAUCUUCUUUACAUCUACCAUUCCAGUGUUUCAUUGCUAUAUUGUAAUUACUUUGCCACCAUGGCCUAUUUAUUGCCUCCCUUAUCUUACCUCAUUAGCACACACUGUAUAUAGACUUUUUCUACUUUAUUAUUGACUAUGUUUAUUUAUUCCAUGUGUAACUCUGUGUUGUUGUAUGUGUCGAACUGCUUUGCUUUAUCUUGGCCAGGUCGCAGUUGUAAAUGAGAACUUGUUCUCAACUAGCGUACCUGGUUAAAU